Molecule: long non-coding RNA, 397 nt
Organism: Magnolia sinica
Lineage: Eukaryota; Viridiplantae; Streptophyta; Magnoliopsida; Magnoliales; Magnoliaceae
Exons: 4
Source: RefSeq, a predicted model, not a curated record
GUUCGGUGAGCAUCAGAAUUCUUGAGAAGUUACUUUGCUAGUCUAGUGGAUUUAAUUAUAAGUGACAAGAGCUACUUUUCUUAGCGAGGGCAGUUGAAGAUGCCUGAUCAUGCUAAUCUUCGGUACAAGUGCAGGACAUAUGCAUGCCUUCUACAACAUUUGAAGAGUCUUGAUAAGAAUUGCAUGGGCCCUCUAAGGAAAGCUUAUUGUCAUUCCCUUAAUUUGUUGCUUCGUCGAGAGGCUCGUGAGUUUACGAAUGAACUUCAUGCCAGUACCAAAGCAUCAAGAAAUCCAACAGUCUAGCUUGAAGCUUCUGCAGGUUCUAAUCAGGCUACGAACAGUGCAGACACUUCUAUAGUUUCUGAAGCAUACUCGAAGAUGCUUAGAAUAUUUAUCC